This 266-nucleotide ribosomal RNA is filed under the name uncultured Eubacteriales bacterium. RNAcentral describes it as "uncultured Clostridiales bacterium partial 16S ribosomal RNA". It matches the Rfam family "Bacterial small subunit ribosomal RNA", at positions 72 to 339 of the family's 1533-position model. The record is from RNAcentral. Lineage: Bacteria; Bacillati; Bacillota; Clostridia; Eubacteriales.
UCAAAUGACUUUUGAACUUAGUGGCGGACGGGUGAGUAACGCGUGAGCAACCUGCCUUUCAGAGGGGGAUAACGAUUGGAAACGAUCGCUAAUACCGCAUGACAUAGCGGAAUCGCAUGGUUCUGUUAUCAAAGGAGCAAUCCGCUGAAAGAUGGGCUCGCGUCCGAUUAGAUAGUUGGUGAGGUAACGGCUCACCAAGUCGACGAUCGGUAGCCGGUCUGAGAGGAUGAACGGCCACACUGGAACUGAGACACGGUCCAGACUCC